This 478-nucleotide ribosomal RNA is filed under the name uncultured bacterium. RNAcentral's name for it is "partial 16S ribosomal RNA". It matches the Rfam family "Bacterial small subunit ribosomal RNA", at positions 28 to 523 of the family's 1533-position model. The record is from RNAcentral.
GACGAACGCUGGCGGCGUGCUUAACACAUGCAAGUCGAACGGUAAGGCCCUUCGGGGUACACGAGUGGCGAACGGGUGAGUAACACGUGGGUGAUCUGCCCUGCACUUCGGGAUAAGCCUGGGAAACUGGGUCUAAUACCGGAUAGGACCACUGCCUGCAUGGGUGGUGGUGGAAAGCUUUUGCGGUGUGGGAUGGGCCCGCGGCCUAUCGGCGUGUUGGUGGGGGGAUGGCCUACCAAGGCGACGACGGGUAGCCGGCCUGAGAGGGUGACCGGCCACACUGGGACUGAGAUACGGCCCAGACUCCUACGGGAGGCAGCAGUGGGGAAUAUUGCACAAUGGGCGCAAGCCUGAUGCAGCGACGCCGCGUGAGGGAUGACGGCCUUCGGGUUGUAAACCUCUUUCAGCACCGACGAAGCGCAAGUGACGGUAGGUGCAGAAGAAGGACCGGCCAACUACGUGCCAGCCGCCGCAGUAA